This 200-nucleotide long non-coding RNA is filed under the name Setaria viridis. RNAcentral describes it as "long non-coding RNA (SVIR_LNC001169)". The record is from RNAcentral. Lineage: Eukaryota; Viridiplantae; Streptophyta; Magnoliopsida; Poales; Poaceae.
AGCUAGGUAAGGUAGAUAGCUAGAGUGUGGACAAGGGAGUUCCAGGCAUUAUCUCAAAGAAUCAGCCUGCCUGCCUCUGCCUUAGAAAUAAAUCCUGAUGCAAUGGUGCUUUUUCUUUCUUUUCCAUUUGACGUUUGAUAUAUGGAAUGGAGCUGAACCAAUUGACGAUGUUGAAUAUAUAUUGGAUGAUGGAGAGCGAU